RNAcentral lists this ribosomal RNA (465 nucleotides) under uncultured bacterium. RNAcentral's name for it is "partial 16S ribosomal RNA". It matches the Rfam family "Bacterial small subunit ribosomal RNA", at positions 338 to 795 of the family's 1533-position model. The record is from RNAcentral.
CCUACGGGUGGCAGCAGUGGGGAAUAUUGCGCAAUGGGCGAAAGCCUGACGCAGCGACGCCGCGUGAGGGAUGAAGGUCUUCGGAUCGUAAACCUCUGUCAGCAGGGAAGAACGGUCACUGUGCUAAUCAGCAGAGAAUCGACGGUACCUGCCACGGAAGCACCGGCUAACUCCGUGCCAGCAGCCGCGGUAAUACGGAGGGUGCGAGAGUUAAUCGGAAUUACUGGGCGAAAAGCGAUCGUAGGCGGUAAUGCAAGUCAAGGGUGAAAUCCCGGCGCGCAACGUGGGGACUGCCUUUGAAACUGGCAAACUGGAGUGUGGGAGAGGGUAGUGGAAUUCCAGGUGUAGGGGUGAAAUGCGUAGAUAUCUGGAGGAACAGCAGUGGCGAAGGCGGCUAUCUGGCACGUAACUGACGCUGAGGAGCGAAAGCGUGGGUAGCAAACAGGAUUAGAUACCCCAGUAGUC